AAGGAUAUAGUAUAAAGGUUAGUACAUGGGUCUUCAAAACCUGUGAUCGAGGUUCGAGUCCUUGUGUCCUUG
This 72-nucleotide transfer RNA is filed under the name Blastococcus fimeti. Its description in RNAcentral is "Blastococcus sp. DSM 44205 tRNA_SeC_TCA". It matches the Rfam family "tRNA". Rfam says of the family: Transfer RNA (tRNA) molecules are approximately 80 nucleotides in length. Their secondary structure includes four short double-helical elements and three loops (D, anti-codon, and T loops). Further hydrogen bonds mediate the characteristic L-shaped molecular structure. tRNAs have two regions of fundamental functional importance: the anti-codon, which is responsible for specific mRNA codon recognition, and the 3' end, to which the tRNAs corresponding amino acid is attached (by aminoacyl-tRNA synthetases). tRNAs cope with the degeneracy of the genetic code in two manners: having more than one tRNA (with a specific anti-codon) for a particular amino acid; and 'wobble' base-pairing, i.e. permitting non-standard base-pairing at the 3rd anti-codon position. The record is from RNAcentral. Lineage: Bacteria; Bacillati; Actinomycetota; Actinomycetes; Geodermatophilales; Geodermatophilaceae.